UACGGAGGAUCCAAGCGUUAUCCGGAAUCAUUGGGUUUAAAGGGUCCGUAGGCGGCAUUAUAAGUCAGUGGUGAAAUCCGGCAGCUCAACUGUCGAACUGCCAUUGAUACUGUAGUGCUUGAAUAAUUGUGAAGUAACUAGAAUAUGUAGUGUAGCGGUGAAAUGCUUAGAUAUUACAUGGAAUACCAAUUGCGAAGGCAGGUUACUAACAAUUCAUUGACGCUGAUGGACGAAAGCGUGGGUAGCGAACAGG
RNAcentral lists this ribosomal RNA (253 nucleotides) under uncultured bacterium. RNAcentral's name for it is "partial 16S ribosomal RNA". It matches the Rfam family "Bacterial small subunit ribosomal RNA", at positions 524 to 776 of the family's 1533-position model. The record is from RNAcentral.